GAAUUCCUUACAGCAAUUGACAUUUUCCCUCCCAAAGAAAAAAACUGAAUUCUG
Molecule: non-coding RNA, 54 nt
Organism: Dictyostelium purpureum
Lineage: Eukaryota; Evosea; Eumycetozoa; Dictyosteliales; Dictyosteliaceae
Source: Rfam